UACGUAGGGUGCAAGCGUUGUCCGGAAUUAUUGGGCGUAAAGGGCGUGUAGGCGGCCUUCUAAGUCGGACGUGAAAUCCCUCGGCUUAACCGAGGAACUGCGUCCGAUACUGAAAGGCUUGAAUCCGGGAGAGGGAUGUGGAAUUCCAGGUGUAGCGGUGAAAUGCGUAGAUAUCUGGAGGAACACCGGUGGCGAAGGCGGCAUCCUGGACCGGCAUUGACGCUGAGGCGCGAAAGCUAGGGGAGCAAACGGG
RNAcentral lists this ribosomal RNA (253 nucleotides) under uncultured bacterium. Its description in RNAcentral is "partial 16S ribosomal RNA". It matches the Rfam family "Bacterial small subunit ribosomal RNA", at positions 524 to 776 of the family's 1533-position model. The record is from RNAcentral.